UUUUAUUCAUGGGUCUAGAGAAGUGGAGACGGAGGCACACGCUCCCUUUUCCACAAGCAAACUUAAUUCUUCACCUGCAGUGCAGAGACGCAAUAAUGGAGCUCAGCGCCCUGGGUGCAGUCAUUCACAUGUUCACUGUGUACAGGAAGAAAAUACCAGGGACGAAGAUGUUGAGCACCCAGCUCAUAUCUAGUUUCAACGUUAUCGGGUUGACCUUAGAAUUCACUUCCUUGUUUGUUUUUGUACAUUUGUACCUAUCGACAACAUGGCGGUUACCGAUGUAUCAUGUCUGUCAUAAUUAUAUUACAAUAAUGUCAGUGUAUCACCUCUGCCUUUUUUGUAUAUGCUUUAUAGUGACCCAUUGGGCGCCAGGUAGCAGUAGCAGAAAAGAUGCUUUGCCAUGUGGAUAUUAUGACGAGACCUGUGCAACAGAAGGUGCAUAUGCUCCAAAUCCUGCAGAUUGCACACGUUAUUAUUGGUGCAUGCAUGGCAGAUGGGUACUCUGUAACUGUAGCGGUGCAUCCUCUGGCAGCUGUGGUGUUCCUGUGGAAUACUGUAAAGUUGUCUUUUGCCCACAAGUAACUUCUCCAACGAUUGCCACCCUAACGUUAGAAGUAACAACUAUGAAAAUAACACCUAAGUCUGUUCCUACUUCCUCAAAACCCAUUACCACUUCCUACACUAAUAUUACAACAUACAUGUAUGGUUUGAUGUCUGAUACUGCUGCUGGUACAUCUGCCUCAACGGAGCCAACCUCAACGGAGCCAACAUCAGCAGCACCCCGAAGUGGGUCAGUCUCAGAGCGUUCUCUCCCCCUGGUGUUGUAGCUGGCAUCGUGGCAUUAGUAGCGCUGGCAAUACUAAACAUCAUACAGUGUGUGCUGCUUGUGAUUCUGUGGCGGAGAAUAAAACGCACUGAGAGGUCAAAUCAAUCAAUUCAAGCAGUUGAAAAGGAACAACCUAGAACAACAGGUCUCACACCCAAUGGGCACCCCAUGACAAAUACAGAUGCUUCCAGGAAUUACGGUGACAAUUACAUGUCUCUUGCAAAAGCGAAUACAUCGAUGGAUCUGCCAUGAGCGAGGCCAAUGAAGAUAGAAAUGGCUAUCAAGAACUUCGCUCUGCUGAGACGCCAUCUAGUGACGAGUAUUCAUAUGCAUAUGCUUCUGCUGGUGGCAGGAAAGCCGGUGUAAAAUCAAGAGAACACGAGACGAAACAAAAAUCAGACGUCUAUGAGUUACAACGUAUGUAUUCGAAUGAUUUACAGUAACCAUGCAGGGAGCAAUAACCUUCAUAAAGACUUGAUAAUGAUGAUUUCAAAGAAUUUAAUGAGACUUGACUUAUAGAAAUAUAUUGACUUUAAAUAACAUUAAGAUCCUCUGAUUUUUUCGAAAAUAGAUGUCUCUAGCUUUUACGAAUGCCGGGCCAUGAGCAUAAUUAAACAAGCCCAUAUGUAUAUAAUUUAAUAUUUCAACAUUAAGAGACAUAAUGGUCGUUCAAUGUUUCAGUAGCCCUACCUGUACCACUCGUCACGUGUUUGACAUUUGUUUGCGGGUUUAAUUCACCUGGGCACUAACUUUUCUCACAAAGUCAAAACGAAUCUGUCAGAUCGACCAACUUAACCGAUUCUUUUUAAAUAUUGUUUAAAUAAAGGUAUUUUAU
Molecule: unclassified non-coding RNA, 1661 nt
Filed under: Lingula anatina
Lineage: Eukaryota; Metazoa; Brachiopoda; Lingulata; Lingulida; Lingulidae
Description: uncharacterized LOC106150619, transcript variant X2
Source: RNAcentral